GAUGAACGCUGGCGGUCUGCUUAACACAUGCAAGUCGAACGGGCUCUUUCUUGAGCUAUUGGCGGACGGGUGAGUAACGCGUGAGAAUCUGCCCUUUGGAGGGGGAUAACGUUUGGAAACGACCGCUAAUACCCCAUGUUCCGAUAGUUAAAAAGUAAUUCGCCAAGUGAUGAGCUCGCGUCGGCUUAGCUAGUUGGUGUGGUAAGAGCCCACCAAGGCGACGAUCCGUAGCUGGUCUGAGAGGAUGACCAGCCACACUGGGACUGAGACACGGCCCAGACUACUACGGGAGGAAGCAGUGGGGAAUUUUCAGCAAUGGGGGCAAGCCUGACGGAGCAAGACCGCGUGAGGGAAGACGGUCUGUGGAUUGUAAACCUCUUGUGAAAGGGAAGAAGUACUGACGGUACCUGAAGAAUAAGCAUCGGCUAACUCCGUG
Molecule: ribosomal RNA, 436 nt
Filed under: uncultured bacterium
Lineage: Bacteria
Description: partial 16S ribosomal RNA
Rfam family: Bacterial small subunit ribosomal RNA
Source: RNAcentral